Molecule: ribosomal RNA, 468 nt
Filed under: uncultured bacterium
Lineage: Bacteria
Description: partial 16S ribosomal RNA
Rfam family: Bacterial small subunit ribosomal RNA
Source: RNAcentral
GACGAACGCUGGCGGCGUGCUUAACACAUGCAAGUCGAACGGAAAGGCCCUGCUUUUGUGGGGUGCUCGAGUGGCGAACGGGUGAGUAACACGUGAGUAACCUGCCCUUGACUUUGGGAUAACUUCAGGAAACUGGGGCUAAUACCGUAUAGGAGCCCCUGCUGCAUGGUGGGGGUUGGAAAGUUUCGGCUGUUGGGGAUGGACUCGCGGCUUAUGAGCUUGUUGGUGGGGUAGUGGCAUACCAAGGCUUUGCCGGGUAGCCGGCCUGAUAGGGUGACCGGCCACAAUGGGACUAAGAUACGGCCCAGACUCCUACGGGACGCAGCAGUGGAGAAUAUUGCACAAUGGGCGGAAGCCUGAAGCAGAAGCGCCGCGUGCGGGAUGACGGCCUUCGGGUUUUAAACCGCUUUCGCCUGUGACGAAGCGUGAGUGACGGUAAUGGGUAAAGAAGCACCGGCUAACUACGUG